Rhagoletis zephyria (snowberry fruit fly) is the source of this 92-nucleotide long non-coding RNA. RefSeq lists it as uncharacterized. Lineage: Eukaryota; Metazoa; Arthropoda; Insecta; Diptera; Tephritidae. The record is from RefSeq and is a predicted model, not a curated record.
AUUGGAAAUUAAUUAAUAGGGAAUUCGCUCUUAUGUGUAUUCGAUGUAUGUUGUGUAAUCGUAACUGCAUGAGCGUGUGAUUUGUUGUUGCU